UACGAAGGGGGCUAGCGCUGUUCGGAAUUACUGGGCGUAAAGCGCACGUAGGCGGGUUGUUAAGUCAGGGGUGAAAUCCUGGAGCUCAACUCCAGAACUGCCUUUGAUACUGGCAACCUAGAGACUGGAAGAGGUUAGUGGAAUUCCCAGUGUAGAGGUGAAAUUCGUAGAUAUUGGGAAGAACACCAGUGGCGAAGGCGGCUAACUGGUCCAGCACUGACGCUGAGGUGCGAAAGCGUGGGGAGCAAACAGG
This 253-nucleotide ribosomal RNA is filed under the name uncultured bacterium. RNAcentral's name for it is "partial 16S ribosomal RNA". It matches the Rfam family "Bacterial small subunit ribosomal RNA", at positions 524 to 776 of the family's 1533-position model. The record is from RNAcentral.